RNAcentral lists this long non-coding RNA (1006 nucleotides) under Gossypium barbadense (sea-island cotton). RNAcentral describes it as "long non-coding RNA (GBAR_LNC012092)". Lineage: Eukaryota; Viridiplantae; Streptophyta; Magnoliopsida; Malvales; Malvaceae. The record is from RNAcentral.
AACACUUGUUCAUUUCGUGCCAAAGCGACCACAAACUCGCCACACAACAAGUCAGCCACCAAUGCCUUGAAGUACCCGAAAGUGGAAAAUGAAAGCAUUCCUCCAUAAAUAUUCGUAGAGACCUUUUGGUAAACAGCCAUAAAAACCCCACCAUGCCCAGAUUUUGUACCAAACACGUCUCACCAAAGAAGACGAAAAUAAUACAUGAUUCUAGUCUCGGUCUCCUUGCCACACCAAUUACACAUACUUGGAUCAAAUCGAAAUGUAUACCUCUUAGUUGUUUCUUAAGCCACAAAUUAGAAUUCCCCUUUUCUUUCAUCAUGUACCUAGCUUUGUUUUACACAAGUACAAUAAUUGUAAGCCGUAAUUUUGUAGAUGGUUUAGACAGCUGCCCAGAAAUUCAGCUGACGUUGCUAGAUUUACAUAUGAAAUUCCAAGCACCAUUGGCAAAUGGCAACCCUUAUUCUACCUUCUCCAAAUAGAAAACCCAAACAUUUCUCAGCCCUACUCCUCCUAUACCCCCCUAAAUUCUUUUACCUGCCAUCUUUCUUUUCUUCCAACUUAACACGCUACCCAUCCAUGUCCUCUUUCUUUGCUUCUAACGUUCUUAGUCCUCUCUUUAUCCACCACAAAUACAUCUCUUUAUUUCUCUUAAUACGAGAAAAGCAUGUUGUGUUAAUUAGUGUUCAAAUUUCAUUGUAUAAAUGUCAAGCAAAACAUAUGAGAAAAACAAAGAAGGAUUUGUAGGAAGACGUGUUUCCCAAUGCCACUUGAAAUGACAUCUUAUCAAGGAGAGACGAUCGAGAGAAACUGAGUAAAAGGAUUGCUUUUAUUAAUUACUUGGAUUUGGGUGUGGUUGAGUUAAGGGAAUCUAAGUGAUGGAGAUGACAGCUUUUUUGAAAACCUAAUAACUGUGGCCUGUGGGGUUCUUGUGGAUCGAGGUAAACAAACCACUUGCAUUAUAUUUCCCUUUUAGUCAUCUCCCUUUUUUAUGUUAUUUAAUUUC